AUGGAGUUUCACGGAGAAGCACAAGUCAUCAUCAGACGCCCUGUUUCUAAUCUGAAUGGUCCAGUGGUCCCUGUUCCUGGAGCCAGCUGCAGUGAGGGAGAUGGAAACAGAAACGUGGAAGACAGGAGUCCAAUGUGUAGCAAUACAGGAAACACGCUGGUACCGAAGAAUAGAAGUGGUUUUCUGCAAACCGUUGAUCUGAAAGUCAAUGGAAUGAUUCCAGGAGAGACAACCUGGUUUUCUGAUUAUUUCAUUCGGCCAGUUUUACUUCACCAGUCUGGCAACUGAAGAAAAGGCAUCUGGGAAGGUAAGGCUUGGUAAAGGGUGGUUUUUUCUUCUUUCUCUGGUCCACCUGCUCAUUUGCUCACAAGGCUAUUAACAAUAAAAGAUGACUAUUGCAUGUCUAUCUCACUUGUCUAUCUUGAGUUCUGAAGUUAUAGAAUAAAAUAAACAGAAAUGUAAGGGUUCAGUACAGCAUCCUAUUUCUUAUAGGGAAGGGAUUGGAUCAUGCAAUUUGGGUUCAAUGGAAAAUUGUUGCUUCCUGCCCCUCUACCCCACACUGAACCUUCCCACUCAGGCUGGGGCUAAGCAGGCGGGAUCUGCAGCUUUCGCUGUCUCUGCGGUGAAGGACCAUGGACUUGACUCAUUAACAGGCAGCUCCAAGUGAGAGCACAAGCCAGGACCCAGACCAGUCCUCACUCCGGUUUUGCCAUCGCGAGGCAAGUCCCUCCAGGAGUCUGGAGAGAAGGAGUGAAUCACCCCUCCAAUGCUUCUUCGAUGGAGCAGAAGUAUUGUGAAAAGUGCCAACGUUAUGGAUCAAUGAAAAAAAUAAGAGUAUUCUGUGUCUCUCAACUGGAGAUCAAACAGACAGAUUUGCUAACGUUAUACGUUAGGUAUGACAAAAAGUUGUGCACUUUUUUAAAUGUGUGUGUGUGUGUGUGUGUGUGUGUGUGUGUUUUGUUUUUUUGAGACAGGGUCUCACUCUGUCAUCCAGGCUGGAGUGCAGGGGUAUGGUCUGGGCUCACUGUGGCCUCAACUUCCCAGGCUCAAGUGAGCCUCCUGAGUAACUGGGACUACAGGUGCAUGCCACUAUGCCUGGCUAAUUUUUUGUAUUUUUUGGAGAGACUGGGCUUCGCAAUGUUGACCAGGCUGAUCAUGAAUUUCUGGGCUCAAGCGAUCCUCCUAUCUCUACCUCCCAAAGUGCUGGGAUCACAGAUAUGAGCCACUGUGCCAGCCAAAAAGUUUUAAUUUUUGUUCAAAUGAUUUUUCCUAGCCUUAACUUUCUUGGCAACUGCUGUAUGGCUUAACCACCACCACUACCACCACUACCAACAUGUACCCUCAGCCUUCCACAAAGACCCAGCACAGCAACCUAGCAUAGUAGUUUUCCUUUUCUAAAAACUGUCCCUCCCAUUUCUGUUCCAUUAUUCAUAGCGAAAGGAUUCAAGACAGGAACAGGGAAGUCAGAGGAAAUUGGCAGUCGAUCCUUUUGAUCCUUCUUAACCAGGGAACAGAACGAUGACCUUGCCGGAGGGAACCGCGAUACCAGGGAGCAAUGACCUAAAUAAUUCUGAGUGUGGGUGAAAAUGUGGAGGAUUCCAAACCUCCGAGGUUGAGAGGAGCUGGAUGGUUUCGUGCUUAAGCACGGCCGGCGCCAGACUUACAUCAAUUCAGUAAUAACAUUCCUUCCCACACUAAAUGUGAGUGAAGACACCUCCCAUGAAGCCUUGGUGAAGACUUCACAAAAUCUUGCUGUGUCUAUUUUCUUUUUAAACACAAAAUUUCUUAAUUAAAAAAACUUUUUAUUUCAAAAGAAUUAGAUAUUCAGAAGUGGCAAAGAUAGUAUAGAGAGGUACUAUGUAUCCCUCAGCCAUCUC
This 1877-nucleotide long non-coding RNA is filed under the name Callithrix jacchus (white-tufted-ear marmoset). Its description in RNAcentral is "lncRNA (ENSCJAG00000070532.1)". Lineage: Eukaryota; Metazoa; Chordata; Mammalia; Primates; Cebidae. The record is from RNAcentral.